RNAcentral lists this ribosomal RNA (301 nucleotides) under uncultured bacterium. Its description in RNAcentral is "partial 16S ribosomal RNA". It matches the Rfam family "Bacterial small subunit ribosomal RNA", at positions 509 to 807 of the family's 1533-position model. The record is from RNAcentral.
CAGCAGCCGCGGUAAUACGAAGGGUGCAAGCGUUAAUCGGAAUUACCGGGCGUAAAGCGUGCGUAGGCGGUGAGUUAAGUCUGCUGUGAAAUCCCCGGGCUCAACCUGGGAAUGGCAGUGGAUACUGGCUCGCUAGAGUGUGUCAGAGGAUGGUGGAAUUCCCGGUGUAGCGGUGAAAUGCGUAGAGAUCGGGAGGAACAUCAGUGGCGAAGGCGGCCAUCUGGGACAACACUGACGCUGAGGCACGAAAGCGUGGGGAGCAAACAGGAUUAGAUACCCGCGUAGUCCCUGUCUCUUAUAC